RNAcentral lists this long non-coding RNA (2661 nucleotides) under Triticum aestivum (bread wheat). RNAcentral describes it as "long non-coding RNA (TAES_LNC020317)". Lineage: Eukaryota; Viridiplantae; Streptophyta; Magnoliopsida; Poales; Poaceae. The record is from RNAcentral.
UUUUUUUUUUUUUUGCGUGGAAAGGGAUUCUAUUGAUUAAGGAAUAAGGUUACAAUCGGCAUUCACAACGCUAGCAAUUUCCUUGGGGGUACUACGCAGCCAACAUGCAGUGCGUUGUUGCGAUCGUCCCAUGUAAGCGAGGCUAUGACUAGCAACAUUAACAUCCCGCCUAACCUUAACAAGUUCUAUCCUCCUUCCUCCAAAAAUAAGAUUUCUAAUCUCAUUCACACGAUAUGCAUGUGGUGAUCGAUCCUUUCUUGGCGACGAUAACAUUGUGAUGGCUUCAGCGCAGUCAGACUCGACAACAAAAUCGAGAUCCGUCCAACUCAGAGCGAGAUGAAUUCCCUCCUGGAUUGCGGCAAGCUCGGCUUCAAGCGCUCCAGUGCAGGAUGGCAGCGCACGGAUCGCAGCAAAGAUGACAGCCCUUGAGUGGUCUCGAAGGAUCAUACCUGCGCCUGCAGAACCAUUCUCCGCCACAUACACCCCAUCAACGUUGAGCUUGGCAGUACCCGGUUCCGGAGGUCUCCACUUCUCUAUAUGCGGUAUAGGCUCUUGAUGGACAUGUUUGACACCGCCUAGCUUAAUCACACCUUUCCCCUUGAUCUGGUCCUCAUGAGGGUGUUGUUGUAGUGCCAGGAGGGAGGUGAUAUAGCUGGACAAAAAUCGCCUUGAUUUUGCAAUAGGGAUAAACGGCUUCUGAUGGGUCACCUCAUUGCGUACAUGCCAGGCUCGCCACAUGAUCAUGAGGCAUAUAAGUCGCUGGGUAUCUGAUAAUUUCUCAAGCAACCUGAACAACCAAUCAGGGGCACCAUCCUUGAGUUGGUCAGCUUUAGGAAUGUCCCAUUCCUCCCGCAUAGCAUUCCAAAGGCCAGCAGCAUGUGGGCACCAAAUCAGAGCAUGAUGGGCAUCUUCCAUAGCAUUACCGCAUACUGUACAGAUUACUGACUGAGAAAUAUGUAGACGACAUUGGUACUCCUCUGUAGCCAGUGCUUCUAAGGCUGCCUUCCAGGCAAAGAUACGGACCUUCGGUGGAGCCGGGUUCUUCCAAAUAAGGUCCCAAGCCGGCCGGCGCCCGUCCGGCCUAGAGCUCGAGGAUCCCAUGUUCUGCAUCAUCGGCAUCUCCUGAAGACCCAGAUAAUAAGCGCUUUUAACUGAAAAAAUGCCACGUUUGUCCAGGUGCCAGGCUACAAAGUCUUCCUCCAUUUGACACGACGCCUUUAUUUUUGUGAUCUCCAUAAUAUCUGGUGGGUAAAAAUGUUGGUGCAAGAGAGCCAUUGAUUGCCUGCCACAAGUCCUGAAGAAGCCAGGCCCUGGAAAUUUAAUGAUUCGUUUGGUUCUAUCACCACCUUAAUCUUCUUCUUCAUUCGGUUCGCACUAGGCUCUCUGAAGUGCUAGGGCCGGCCCCUGCCUCUAAAGAAUGAGCGGCCGAUGCCUGCACGAUUCGUAUGUGGUAGCACGAGCAGCAAGCGUACAUGCAGGAGCGCAGUUGCGGGAGCAGUAUCGUUCGGAGAUCGUGCGGGAUCAGUCGUCCGUGAAGCAAUUUUGUGCACAAAAAGAACAAAACAAUGAUCUUUUGUAGUGAAUAGUGCAUGUGCUAUAAGUACAGGGUUUUUUUUAUCGGAAAUAAUAAAUCCCGAACGUUUGGGAUUUCACCAUAGCAAAUCGAAUGUUUUCGAUGGCAAUUUUAAUGACAUGCAGAUGGCAAGUUUAGUAUACACACACGACAAUUUUCUGGCAAAAAUACACUAUGCAUGGUCGAUUUGCCAUGGUCAAAUCCCGAACGCUCAGGCAUUACGGGGGUUCUUUUUUUUUUUGUCCAGCUCAGAGCAAGUGUGUUCUUUCAUGAAAUUUUACAGAGAUGUAGCAUACGUCUCUAUGUUCAUGUGCAUUUGUAUCAGAACUUUUUGAAACCUAGAAAUAUGAUUUCCGCACAUGAACCAAAAAACCACGCUCCUUCUAGAUUUCUUUGAUGCCCAUCCCUUCUUCUUUUUUUUUUCGAGUAGAACGUAUCCCUUCUAUAUAUGAUCGGGGUUACAUGGGCCCCAUCAAGCACCGUUCGACAGACCCACAUGAUCAUCUAGCGAAAAAAGUAGGUCUGGUCCUCAUCGGGCCAGCGAACGAGAGGAAGAAAGGGAAGGACAAAUGGCGCAAAGCAACUGAACAUCCGUGGAUAUGACAAGAAGGAAACGCGCACCCAACUCUCUGAACAUGAUCGCAGAUCUUCACUAGCUGUGUUACUGCAACUCAAAUGAUGUGCUUGCUCCCAAACAAUCCCCUCUAUUUGUUCUGCAAUUCUCUGCGGUAUCGAUCAUCUGGUGGAAGUGUUGUUUCAUUGACAGAAUUUUUCCCUCGUGCAUCUGCUCUGCUCCACAUUGUAUACCAAUCUAACACCAAGCACACCGAUCCAGCCAGGACCAGAGCGCCGCAUGAAGAUCAAUCGGCACAACACUAGCUACGGCAUUUAUCAACUUUAUUCGCAAGACACCAUGCAAAUAUAGUACAACUACUUGGUGCCAAUAAGAAUUCGUAGUUCAGGCAACAGUAAGCUAAACCGAACAGCUAGCAGAAUAAGUUCUCUCCACAAAGUAGUCACUAAAUCGUGGCGCAAUGCCCAUACACAUCACAGUAAUUCAUGGAACAAACCAUGCCAUGGAUCUUCAG